RNAcentral lists this transfer RNA (72 nucleotides) under Bos taurus (domestic cattle). It matches the Rfam family "tRNA". Rfam says of the family: Transfer RNA (tRNA) molecules are approximately 80 nucleotides in length. Their secondary structure includes four short double-helical elements and three loops (D, anti-codon, and T loops). Further hydrogen bonds mediate the characteristic L-shaped molecular structure. tRNAs have two regions of fundamental functional importance: the anti-codon, which is responsible for specific mRNA codon recognition, and the 3' end, to which the tRNAs corresponding amino acid is attached (by aminoacyl-tRNA synthetases). tRNAs cope with the degeneracy of the genetic code in two manners: having more than one tRNA (with a specific anti-codon) for a particular amino acid; and 'wobble' base-pairing, i.e. permitting non-standard base-pairing at the 3rd anti-codon position. RNAcentral also lists the same sequence under 5 other names. The record is from Rfam by way of RNAcentral. Lineage: Eukaryota; Metazoa; Chordata; Mammalia; Artiodactyla; Bovidae.
UCCCUGAUAGCUCAGCUGGUAAAGAAUCUGCCUGCAAUGCAGGGGACCUGGGUUCGACCCCUGGGUUGGGAA